GAUGAACGCUGGCGGCGUGCCUAAUACAUGCAAGUCGAGCGAACAGAUAAGGAGCUUGCUCCUUUGACGUUAGCGGCGGACGAGUGAGUAACACGUGGGUAACCUACCUAUAAGACUGGGAUAACUUCGGGAAACCGGAGCUAAUACCGGAUAACAUUUGGAACCGCAUGGUUCUAAAGUGAAAGAUGGUUUUGCUAUCACUUAUAGAUGGACCCGCGCCGUAUUAGCUAGUUGGUAAGGUAACGGCUUACCAAGGCGACGAUACGUAGCCGACCUGAGAGGGUGAUCGGCCACACUGGAACUGAGACACGGUCCAGACUCCUACGGGAGGCAGCAGUAGGGAAUCUUCCGCAAUAGGCGAAAGCCUGACGGAGCAACGCCGCGUGAGUGAUGAAGGGUUUCGGCUCGUAAAACUCUGUUAUUAGGGAAGAACAAAUGUGUAAGUAACUGUGCACGUCUUGACGGUACCUAAUCAGAAAGCCACGGCUAACUACGUG
RNAcentral lists this ribosomal RNA (497 nucleotides) under uncultured bacterium. RNAcentral's name for it is "partial 16S ribosomal RNA". It matches the Rfam family "Bacterial small subunit ribosomal RNA", at positions 28 to 507 of the family's 1533-position model. The record is from RNAcentral.